AGUGAACGCUGGCGGUAGGCCUAACACAUGCAAGUCGAACGGCAGCACUGAGGAGCUUGCUCCUUGGGUGGCGAGUGGCGGACGGGUGAGGAAUACAUCGGAAUCUACUCUGUCGUGGGGGAUAACGUAGGGAAACUUACGCUAAUACCGCAUACGACCUACGGGUGAAAGCAGGGGAUCUUCGGACCUUGCGCGAUUGAAUGAGCCGAUGUCGGAUUAGCUAGUUGGCGGGGUAAAGGCCCACCAAGGCGACGAUCCGUAGCUGGUCUGAGAGGAUGAACAGCCAGACGGGAACUGAGACACGGUGCAGACUCCUACGGGAGGCAGCAGUGGGGAAUAUUGGACAAUGGGAGCAAGCCUGAUCCAGCCAUACCGCGUGGGUGAAGAAGGCCUUCGGGUUGUAAAGCCCUUUUGUUGGGAAAGAAAUCCAUCUGGUUAAUACCCGGGUGGGAUGACGGUACCCAAAGAAUAAGCACCGGCUAACUUCGUGCCAGCCGCCGCCGUAA
RNAcentral lists this ribosomal RNA (506 nucleotides) under uncultured bacterium. RNAcentral describes it as "partial 16S ribosomal RNA". It matches the Rfam family "Bacterial small subunit ribosomal RNA", at positions 29 to 523 of the family's 1533-position model. The record is from RNAcentral.